RNAcentral lists this non-coding RNA (97 nucleotides) under pig gut metagenome. RNAcentral describes it as "THF riboswitch". It matches the Rfam family "THF (Tetrahydrofolate) riboswitch aptamer". From Rfam's summary of the family: THF riboswitch presents a pseudoknot that joins P1-P2 and the loop of P3 and two THF binding. The record is from RNAcentral.
GCAGAGUAGGGAAACAUGCGCAAAGUGCCUGCGGGACGGGGAGUUGCCGGCGGGACGAAAAGCGAAAGCUUGUGGUUUGUUUUCCGCAUCCCGCUGC